UGGGGAAUAUUGCACAAUCGGGGGAAACCCUGAUGCAGCGACGCCGCGUGAGCGAUGAAGUAUUUCGGUAUGUAAAGCUCUAUCAGCAGGGAAGAAAAUGACGGUACCUGACUAAGAAGCCCCGGCUAACUACGUGCC
Molecule: ribosomal RNA, 138 nt
Filed under: uncultured bacterium
Lineage: Bacteria
Description: partial 16S ribosomal RNA
Rfam family: Bacterial small subunit ribosomal RNA
Source: RNAcentral